CGCGUAGGCGGUUUGUUAAGUUGGAUGUGAAAGCCCGGGCUCAACCUGGGAAUUGCACCCGAUACUGGCCGACUAGAGUACGAGAGAGGGAGGUAGAAUUCCACGUGUAGCGGUGAAAUGCGUAGAUAUGUGGAGGAAUACCGGUGGCGAAGGCGGCCUCCUGGCUCGAUACUGACGCUGAGGUGCGAAAGCGUGGGGAGCAAACA
Molecule: ribosomal RNA, 206 nt
Filed under: uncultured bacterium
Lineage: Bacteria
Description: partial 16S ribosomal RNA
Rfam family: Bacterial small subunit ribosomal RNA
Source: RNAcentral